This 16266-nucleotide long non-coding RNA is filed under the name Triticum aestivum (bread wheat). Its description in RNAcentral is "long non-coding RNA (TAES_LNC024430)". The record is from RNAcentral. Lineage: Eukaryota; Viridiplantae; Streptophyta; Magnoliopsida; Poales; Poaceae.
CGCAGGUAGUGGCACCCAAGCGCCCUGUUCCCUCGCUUCUGAUCGCCAUGGCCGAGGCGAGCCGGAGCUCUCCUCCGGCGUACGAGCUCCAAUGCCGGCCCCUUCUUCCUCCACCACCCCAUUCCCGCUGCGAUCCAAGGCUGGAGAUGCCAAGUUCCUCGGCGUCCUCUUCCUCUGCUUCAUCUUCUUCACGGUUCAGAGGAACGCCAAGUUCCUCGUCGUCGUCUUCAUCUUCUUCAUCUACGACAGGUGCUCGUCGCCGGUCAACUUCGUCGCGACCCCUCGUUCCUGAGCUCGAUCGACUCCAGCAGCACCCCCUCUAUGAGCAGCCGCACCUCCUCACCUCUUUCCGCCAUCAUUUCCAUCAUCCUAGUCACUGAUCCGCGCGACCCCGAGUCGUUCCGUCAUGGAUGGGCUCGAGUUCGAGCGUGUGCUUGUGCGCCCCGCUGCACACCGCUCAUGUCCUUGCACGCACACCACUCUCCUCUUCGUCCUUGCACAGAGGCAGGACCCCGCAGCUUGCCUCGUCGUGCUUCGCCGCCAUGGCCUUGAUCUCUGAAUUUUGCGCACGCGAGAACCUACACUCAGCGCCUCCACACAUGCACGCUGCCUCCCGUGAGACACCAACGCGAUGCCCGCGUCUCCCUGUUUCUUGCACCACAUCACUCAUGCGCACACCCCCAGGUCCUCGCCCGCGCUUCCUGCCUUGUCUCGCCUUGCGUGUGGUUUCUUCCCUGCCUUGCCGCGCCAUGCCAUGGCCCGAGCCGAGCAACGCUCGAGCUCGAGCGCCUCUGCACCCCUCCUCAUGGCUGAGCCUCGCAGCAGCCUAUCCCACACACCCGCAGUUGCCUCCUGGACCCCGCCGUUUCACCGUUGCCCGCCGGUGCAGAUCGGUGUCUUCUCUGUUGCAGAGGAGAAGAAACCCCAUCCGUCGUGGGGCUAGUUCAAAGAAAACCGUGCCCAAUCCCUGCAACAGCAGUAGCAGCAGCACAGUGGAUCGAUCAAUGGAGUACUACCAGGGAGACCCCGGUUCGAAUCCCCUUGGGGACAUAUUUAGAACCGCAAUUUUUGCCUCUGUUGCUUCUAUGACAGUGGACCCCAUUUGUCACCCUCUCUGCAGACAUACCCUCUCCGCACCCACACUCCUACCACCUCAGCACCACGGGCCCCCUCGUCAUUGACAGUGGCUGGCCCAGCUCGUGUUCCCUGUCGUUUAAUUUUCUCUUGCAUAUUCACAGAAAUGCCAUUAUUUUGGUUUGUUAAUAACUAAAAAUCCAUGCAUCCAAAUGAAACAUGUAAUAUAUGCAUUUUGCUCAGUUUUCCAUGUAGUUUCACUAUAUCCAGCUUUUAUCCAUGUUUAAAAUGUUUAAAAUUGCUAUUUGAUUAAAUUUGCUCAAAUAACAUGUUAAAAUGGUUUAUUUCAUAACUAAAUAACCGUAGCUCCGAUUUAGAUAAACUUUAUAUGUAAAUGGGGUAGGAUAAUGCAUAGAUUAACUUGAUGCACUUAUUUUUCAUGUUUAACAACUUUAAAAUUGUGUAUAGGGCAGAACAGUAGCAAUUCGAAAUAGGCACAUGGGGAUUUUCCGGAAUUGUUGUUUGUUGUUUCCGGCCUCAUUUAAAAUUGCCUAGAUACGUAGUUUUGUUAUGCUUCACCCCUUGCCAUGUUUAAUAACAUUUAAUAUUGUUGGGUGCAUAAAUGAGAGAGAACUAAAUAAUUGAAUGUGGUGUUUCGUCAAUAUGCAACUCGUUGCCUAUUGAGCUCCACUUAAUUUGUAGUAUUGUUUGUUGCAUUUUCCCAUGCCAUGCCUCAUUUAAACCGGACAUGCAUCAUACUUGACGGUGCAUCAUGCCAUGUUUAUGAUUGUGUGUUUACUAUGUUGUUUGUUUCUUUCCGGGUUGCUUCUCUCGUUAGCUUCGGUUUCUUUCCGGAGUUGUGAGGAUUCGUUCGACUCCGUCUGUUUGUCUUCUUCAUGGACUCGUUCUUCUUCCUAGCGGGAUCUCAGGCAAGAUGACCAUACCCUCGAAAUCACUUCUAUCUUUGCUUGCUAGUUGUUCGCUCUAUUGCUAUGUCGCUCUACCUACCACUUGCUUAUCAAGCCUCCCAAAUUGCCAUGAACCUCUAACAUUUGUCACCCUUCCUAGCAAACCGUUGUGUGGCUAUGUUACCGCUUUUGCUCAGCCCCUCUUAUAGCGUUGCUAGUUGCAGGUGAAGAUGAAGUUUGUUCCAUGUUGGAACAUGGAUAUUUUGGGAAUAUCACAAUAUCUCUUAUUCAAUUAAUGCAUCUAUAUACUUGGUAAAGGGUGGAAGGCUCGGCCUUAUGCCCGGUGUUUUGUUCCACUCUUGCCGCCCUAGUUUCCGUCAUACCGAUGUUAUGUUCCUUGAUUUUGCAUUCCUUACGCGGUUGGGUGAUUUAUGGGACCCCCUUGACAGUUCGCUUUGAAUAAAACUCCUCCAGCAAGGCCCAACCUUGGUUUUACAUUUGCAUCACCUAGCCUUUUUCCCUUGGGAGUCGCGCUCCCGAGGGUCAUCUUAUUUUACCCCCCCGGGCCAGUGCUCCUCGGAGUGUUGGUCCAAACUAGAGCCACUUGCAGCGCCACCUCGGGGAAACUUGAGGGCUCGUUUUAGUUGUACGUAGUGUUCAUCCGGUGUGUCCUGAGAAUGAGGUACGUGCGACUCCUAUCGGGAUUGUCGACACAUCGGGCGGCUUUGCUGGUUUUGUUUUACCAUUGUCGAAAUGUCUUGUAACCGGGAUUCCGAGACUGAUCGGGUCUUCCCGGGAGAAGGAAUAUCCUUCGUUGACCGUGAGAGCUUAUAAUGGGCUAAGUUGGGACACCCCUGCAGGGUAUUAUCUUUCGAAAGCCGUGCCCGCGGUUAUGUGGCAGAUGGGAAUUUGUUAAUAUCCGGUUGUAGAGAACUUGACACUUGACUUAAUUAAAAUACAUCAACCGCGUGUGUAGCCGUGAUGGUCUCUUCUUGGCGGAGUCCGGGAAGUGAACACGGCUUUUGGGUUAUGUUUGACGUAAGUAGGAGUUCAGGAUCACUUCUUGACCAUUGCUAGUUCACGACCGUUCCUUUGCUUCUCUUCUCGCUCUCAUUUGCGUAUGUUAGCCACCAUAUAUGCUAGUGCUUGCUGCAGCUUCACCUCAUUACCCCAUCCUUUCCUAUAAGCUUAAAUAGUCUUGAUCUCGCAGGUGUGAGAUUGCUGAGUCCUCGUGACUCACAGAUACUUCCAAAACAGUUGCAGGUGCCGAUGAUACCAGUGCAGGUGACGCAACCGAGCUCAAGUGGGAGCUCGAUGAAGAUCUUGUUCGUUGUGUUUUUCUGUUCAUGUUGAUCAGUAGUGGUGCCCAGUUGGGACGAUCGGGGAUCUAGCAUUUGGGGUUGUCUUCUUUUAUUUUGGUUCCGUAGUCGGACCUAUGUGUGUACUCUGAUUGAUGUAUGAUUUAUUUAUGUAUUGUGUGAAGUGGCGAUUGUAAGCCAACUCUUUAUCCCAUUCUUGUUCAUUACAUGGGAUUGUGUGAAGAUGACCCUUCUUGCGACAAAACCACAAUGCGGUUAUGCCUCUAAGUCGUGCCUCGACACGUGGGAGAUAUAGCCGCAUCGUGGGCGUUACAAGUUGGUAAUCAGAGCCUUCCCCGAUUUAGGAGCCCCCUGCUUGAUCGAAUCGCUGACGUUGUUGAGUCUAGAACAAAAAUGUUUUGAGUCUUAGGAUUAUAUAUAUCGGAGAGUAGGAUUCUUUUUACUCCUCAGUCCCUUCGUCGCUCUGGUGAGGUCUCCUGGCGUAGAAGUUUUGACUUUCCUCUCCUCGAAUUUCACUAAAAAAAAAUUUAGGAUCACGCGGGUAUCUUGGAAUCGUUUCGAUGGUUUUGUGAUGAGAACAUUGUUCUUGGUGCCUCCUGACAUUUAGGGGUUGUGGCAGUGUCCCGGGGAGUUGAGCUCCGAGGUGUUGUCGUCACAAUUUUAUCGUUGCAGUUCUGGAAUACCUGAGUUUCGCCGACAUCGAAAAUCUCUUUUAUGCAGUUGUUGGUGAGAUCACCUCGACGCCACCCAGUACUGGGGCGCGAGUUCGGGAGUAUUGCCAUAACUCGUAUAACGGAUGCUUUUCGAAGGUUGAGGUACACGAUUUCCGAAGGUUUCUUGGUUAUGUGUUGACGGAUGGAUACAGCUGGAUCUAGGGAUUGUUAGUUUGGGUGAUAUAUUUUGUGUCCCCUGUAUCCCCAACACCUGAUUGCAUAACCAGAAAGUUUCGGGAGUUUAUAAGUGGGAAUUCAAGUAUCUCGUAGGAUAUCUUUCCAACACACACAUGAUACGAUAUGGGAUCUAUCAUAUGUUUGUUUCCGGCUUAUUCUGCAAGCCAAUCCUUUGUUUUGUUUUAAGUUGUGGUAUUCGAGUUGCUUCAUUGUCAGGUGUUGAUUACAUACCUUUUCCAAGUGGUGUUCUCAUGUUUCUAUGGGAGUGUUAAUCCUUCUUGGUCAUCAAGAGUGUCAUCCCAAUUCUAUUUCCAACCGGUGUGCUUCUCUUCAAGUGGAUCCGAUCAUUUACAACAUCCGCAAGAUCAACUCUAAGUUUUCUCAACGGUGUUUGUUUCAUCCGUCCCAAGGUGCCUUUGUUUUUCCCGCCCUCCCACCCUUUUUCUUCAAGGACUCAGAUUUCUCAACCAUGUAUCCUUUAUUGGUGAGAAGUCUCUUCAUUUUUUUUUCUUUCAAUGUUCUUAUCCGGUGAUUUCCCAUGAAGAUACUAACGAAGCUUCAAGUUUAUCAUUCUUCAUUCUUUUCUUCUCCGGUGGAUUCAAUUCAAGUUUUGUCGAUCAUACCCUUUCCUCGUUUCAAAUGUUUUCUCAUGCCGGUGCAACUCUUAAUCAUUCUUCAAGUGCUAUUCAAUUGUUCCGGAGUGCUGAAGAUGCCUCAGGAGAUUCAUGUUUUCAUUCCUAAUCCGUUCAAGCUAUUUCGAGGUUGUUAUCUCAUUCAACUCAUUUAAUUCAACUAGCGCUAUCUCUCUUUUAAAUCAUUUCAACGGUGUUUCUUUUGAGUGGGCCCUAACCCACAUGUCUUUUCCCAGGAUCUUACCUGACUCUUCUAAUUAUUCCGGAGCCAUUCCUAAUUCUUUUCAAAGUGUGACAUAAGAAUGGAUUCCAUCAGUCACAUGCCUUCCCCAAGACCGCUUUCAAAUUAUUUUCAUUGUUGGCUCAACCCUUCCUCUUUUCAUUCUCCCGGAGUAUCUCAGUAAUUUUGGUGGCGUUUCUAGUCGUCAUUUGAAGACCGAAGAAGAGUUCCUCUAAAUCUUGUCCGUUCUCUCAAAGAUUCGUGGUUCUAGCUUCAUGUUAUCCUCUCGAAUUAUUCCAUUUAUCAGAUAUUCUUUUCUUAUCCAUUCGGAGUAUGUCAGGAGUUGUUUUCCGUUUCAUUUCACCGGAGGCCAUCAUUCCAACUACCGUUAGCCAAUUAUCUCGGCGCUUCUGUCAAGUAUUCUUUAAUCAGCUCGUGAUCUCUUCAUUCUUUUGCAUCUAAAUUCCCUCAAGCAUAUUUAUUCCUCUAAUUCUCCCGGUGAUUCAUUAUCUGUCAUCAGUCAUUUUCGAAUUCUUAUGGUGGUUCAUUCAAGAUUCCUUUUCCUUUGUUUAUCAUAUCAAUUCAUUCGUUCUUUAAAAUCCUACCGGUGGUUCGUUGAAGACCUUCCUCAAGGUUGCGCCAUUUACCCCUUAAUCCUUUUCAACAAGAAUAAUUAGUAUGCAAAAUCCAUUGCUUCUCAUCAAUUUAAUUGGUGGAGGAUAAGCAUAACGUAAUUCUUAUUCUUCUUUCAUCAAGUUGAUUAAUCCCUUCCUUCGGAGUUUGUUCAUAAUGAAUAAUCUCUCGGUUCUAAGUGUUUCCACCUUUUAUUUUCCGGAGUUCAAAUUUCCUCGGCCAUUUCGUCGGGACCUCCAUCUAAAUCAUCACAAGGCUUUAUCUUGUUCUUUCCAACCUUUGUUUCUUUAAUCCUUUUGUUUACCGGAGUUCUUCAUGGUGGUUCUGCACGAUUUAAUUCAUUCUUCAAGAGUUCAUCAAGAUUCUUGUUGGUGGAGCUCAAGUAUUCUUCUUCUUGCAUCUCGAAGUGCAAUUAAUUCUCCAUAUUCUUUUGAAUUGGAGUUUUGCAUUUCUUCAUUCUUCUCUGAUAUUCAAGUAUUUGGUUGUGGCGGAGUUUCACCUCAAAUUUUGAGAGGAUUUUCCAUAAGUCCACAACAAGCUUAUUCUUUUGUUGUUGAUUCCUCAACAACUCCGUUCAAACCUUCCUUCUAAGGAUGCUAUCGAAUUCAUUCAUGGUGGAAGUUGUUGUUCGUUUAUCCGUUCUUUUCAUUCUAUUCUGUCAAUUCUUCUCGAGGCAUUGUGUUGUUCAUCUCGUCAAGUGCCAUCCCAUCUUGUGAAGUUCAUGUUCUAUUCCUCAAUUUGUCAGCCGGAGUGCUGCCGGAAUUCUUUUGUUCUUAUUCCUUUCCUAUCUUAUUCUAACCGGAGUGUUGCCCAAAUUCAUUUUUCUAUCCCUUUUAGCCGGAGUGGUUCCGAAUUCAUUCUUGUUCAUUGAGCUCAUGUUUCAUGUCUUUCAUCCUACAAGAUUCUCGUAAUGUUCCUUGUUCCUCUUUUCUAACGGAGUGUUUUCAACGUCGUUCAUCUCUGUUGUAUCCUUCCUUGCAGUUGUCUAACCUCUCAAGGUUCUUUUGUUUCACUCAGUUGUCCAAGAAGCAACUUUGUUCUUCCUAUUCCCCUUCCGUCUCGUUCCUAAGAUCUCGAGACGAGAUCUCUUGUUAGUGGAGGAGUGUUGUAACGCCCCGGAUCCGAUGCACCACGUGUCUUCCGUUUAUUCGUCGCUGUUGCCAUGUCAUUUGCUUGCGUGUUGCAUUUUGCCAUGUCAUCUUCUGCAUUGCAUCAUGAGCAUAAUGCCUUGGUUUGCAUCUUGAAGCUUUGUUGUGUGCUUGUUAUCUUUGUGAACUCCUUCUUCUCAUCUUCUUUUCUAUUUCAUCUUGCCCUUUCCAUCUAAAUCAUCAUCUAGUGCAACACCCCAUCACAAGCGUCUUCCUUUCAAUUCUCACCCAUUUAUUGCAAGUGGUAUUUUUCUGUCCCAGUAAAAUGUUCACUUACUUUCGGUAAAUCUUAAACCAUGCCAACUACCUCUUUGUCAAAUUUCAUCUCUUUUAAAGUUGUUUUGGUUGGGCUAAGAAUUUACUCAAGUUUGAAUCAAAUUCAAACUUGUUUAAAUUUUCUGUCUCUAAAAGUUGCCAAACCAAUUUUAUUAAAUCUUGCAUGUUCCCAGGAGCAUGAGGAUAUUCUUACAUCUUCCAAAUUCUUUCCCUAGAUCCCCUUCUUUUCCUUUUCUGAAAUCUGUUUAUUAUAAAAACAGAGAAAAGGGAACUACCUUUUCCUUAUCUGGGCGCUGCACUUGGGCCUUCCCCUCACCUUACAGCCAGCAGCAGCAGCCCCAGCGUAGCCCAGUCCGGCACCACCACAGCCCAGCCCACCAACCACCUCCCCCUCUGGUAAUUCCACCUCCACGUAACACAUUUUCACCCUGGCCCCACAUGUCAUCCUCUCUCCUUCCUGCUUUCUUCCUCCUUGGCAGAACUCCCUUGCUCACAGUAACUCCAGGUCACCUCGGCGCACAUGGCCGCCGUGGCAAGGCCGACUCCAUCCUCGCCAUCCAGCCCCCCCCCUAUUUAACCCCCGUAGCAACCCCUAGGGUUUCCCCUUCCUCCUCUCCCUCUUGUCCGCCACCGCCGCGUAGUUAAUGGCACCCAAGCGCCCUGUUGCCUCUGAAAGCUGAAUAAAAUUGUUGCUUAUUGAUGAUUUGCUGCAGCAUACAAGAGUAUAUAAGAGGGUACAAACCGACUUGGGGUAGGGGUACAAAACUGACUUGGACUAGAAGUCGUAUACCAUAAUGACUACUCUAACAUCCCCCCGCAGUAUCAACGGCAGGCUCGACGACGUUGAGACUGAAACAGAUAUCUUGAAACGGCUUAGUAGGCAGUGCCUUGGUGAAAAUGUCAGCAAACUGAGCCGUAGAGGGAACAUGAAGCACCCGAACCUGACCAAGAGCAACCUUUUCACGAACAAAAUGAAUAUCAAUCUCAAUAUGCUUUGUGCGUCGGUGUUGAACUGGAUUGCUGGUCAUGUAGACUGCUGAUAUGUUGUCACAGUAGACAAUAGUGGCCUUCUCAAUAGGCCUGUGUAGCUCGGAGAGUAACUGCCGAAUCCAGAUUGUAUCUGCAACGGCAUGUGCCACAGCGCGAUACUCAGCCUCGGCCAACGAACGUGAGACUAUAACCUGUCUUUUCAAAGACCAAGAAAUCAAAUUGUUACCAAGAAAAACACAAAAACCGGAAGUGGACCUUCGAGUGUCAGGACAACCAGCCCAGUCUGCAUCAGAGUAUGCGGUAAGCGAGUUUGGAGAAGAAUUAUUGAGGUGGAGACCAUGAUUGAGAGUUCCUUUUAAAUACCGAAGAAUGCGUUUAACAUGAUUAUAGUGAGGAACCCGGGGAUCAUGCAUAUAGAGACAUGCUUGUUGAACAGUAAAAGAGAUUUCAGGACGAGUAAUGGUGAGAUAUUGGAGAGCACCUGUUAGGCUACGAUAGAGAGUAGGAUCGGAAAAGGGUUCACCGGUAGCCGAAAGUUUAAAACUAGUAUCGACAGGAGUGCGAGAUGAUUGACAGUCAAGCAUACCAGCACGAUUAAGAAGAUCAAGAAUAUACUGGCAUUGGGAAAGAAAAAGGCUGGUGGAAUCUCGAACAACAGUAAUGCCUAAGAAAUGAUGAAGGAGUCCUAGGUCAGUCAUAGAAAAUUCAGAUCUAAGAAGAGAGACAAUAUGAUCUAAGAACUUUUGAGAGGAGGCGGUAAGAAUGAUAUCAUCUACAUAGAGAAGUAAAUAGGCAGUGUCAGAAGUUUGAUGAUACACAAAAAGAGAGGUGUCGGAGAGAGAUGGAGUGAAGCCUAUUGUUUGAAUGAAGGAGGAGAAGCAUUGAAACCAAGCUCGCGGGGCCUGUUUAAGACCGUAGAGAGAUUUCUGAAGAAGACAUACAUGAGUUGGAAAGGAUGGAUUUUCAAAACCCAGAGGUUGCUGGCAGUAGACAGUUUCUUGAAGGGAACCAUGGAGGAAAGCAUUUUUAACAUCAAGUUGGUGAAUGGGCCAUGAAGAGGAGACAGCAACACUAAGAACGGUGCGAAUGGUGCUAGGUUUAACAACAGGAGAGAAGGUUUCUUCGUAAUCAAUGCCUUGUUGCUGAGAAAAGCCACGACAAACCCACCUGGCUUUAUAUCGUAAGAGGCUCCCAUCGGAGUGGAACUUUUGGCGAAAAAUCCAUUUUCCAGAAACAAUAUUGGUAUUGGGAGGACGAGGAACAAGUUGCCAGGUGUUGUUUUGAAGUAAAGCAUUAUAUUCUUCUUGCAUGGCAGCGGCCCAAUUGGGAUCAAGUAGAGCAGUUUUGUAAUUCUUUGGAAGAGAAGUGAGAGAUAUGGAGGUAUGAAGGUUUAGGCGGUCUUGGGGUUGAUGAAAUCCUGAUUUGGCCCUAGUACGCAUGCAAUGAUCAUUAAUCGGGGCUGCUGUAGGAAUAGCACGAGGGGGUAAGGUGGGUACUGGUGAGUCCGGCGCAGCGGAAGAGUCGGACGAAGGAGUAGGGCUGGGUGGUGGAGUGGGAGCAGGGCUGGGUGUUGGGGAGGGAGCAGGGGUCAGGGGUGUUGGGGACGUCUCGGGUGGGGUGAGUGUAUGGUUGGGAUUGGCUAUGGUGGGUGUUAAUGGUGGUGGUGAUAAGUUGUGUUCGGUAGGUAGGGGAGUAUAUAGUUGGAAAGGACGGGAAGAGGGGGUGUUUGCGGAGCUAGGGGUGUUGGAUGGUGUAGUAGUGCGUUGUGAGAAAGGAAAAAUGUGCUCAGCAAACGUGACAUGACGAGAGACAUGAACGUGUCCGGUGUGAAGGUCGAGACAGCGAUAGCCUUUAUGCUCGUCAGAAAAGCCGAGAAAAGCACAUGGUAUAGAGCGUGGUGACAAUUUAUUUGCAGAAGUGGCGUAGGCAUUGGGAAAACAGAGACAGCCGAAAACACGAACCGCGGAGUAGUCGGGGUGGGAAAGAAAGAGGGAAUAAUAGGGAGUAGUGUUGGGUUUAGUUUUAGAAGGUCGAAUAUUUAGAAGGAAGGUGGCCAUGUGUAGGACUUCAGCCCAAAACUUGGGAGGCAUAGAUGAUUGAAUGAGGAGAGUGAGAACUAUAUCAUUGAGGGUGCGAAGAGAGCGUUCUGCUUUACCAUUUUGAGGGGAGGUGUAGGGACAUGAGAACCUAAGCAGGAUGCCAUGUUGUAAGAAGAAAGUACGAUUUUUAAUGUUAUCAAACUCGCGACCAUUGUCACAUUGGAUAAAGCGAAUUGGGAGGAAGAAGUGAACAGACACAUAGCGUUGAAAAUUAAGGAAAAGAGAAUGGACCUCGGAUUUGUUGCGUAGAGGAAAAGUCCAGACAAAGUGGGUGAAAUCAUCUAGGAUAACAAGGUAGUAUUUAAAACCCGAAACACUUGCAAUGGGAGAGGUCCAUAAAUCACAAUGUAUUAAUUCAAAGGGAUAAGUGCUACAAGAACUAGAGGAACUAAAGGGAAGACGCACAUGUUUGCCUAAUUGACAAGACUCGCAAAACACAGAAUUAUGAGAGUCCCUAUUACAUGGUAUGGUAAAUUCACUAAGCAUAGAAGCUAAGACGGCGGGGUUGGGAUGGCCCAGGCGACGAUGCCAGAGAUCGACGGAGGCCAGCAUGGAUGUUGGAGGGGUGACGGCAGGAACUCCAUUAAGAGAAUAAAGAUCACCAGAGCUAUUGAAGCGAGCGAUCUCGGCCUUGGUCAGGUAAUCUUUCACAGAUAAACCAAAAGGGUCAAAUUCAGCCAAAAAUAGAUUGUCGCAAGUAAAUUGGCGAACAGAGAUAAGAUUUUUAAUGAGGGCGGGUGCAACUAGAACAUCGCGAAGUAAAAGAGGUUUGGUGGAAGAGGGAAGUUGAGCCUGACCAACACAAUAUAUAGGAAUAGAUGAUCCAUCUCCAAGGAUAAUGGAAGGGAAAGGAGAUUUAGUGCAAGAAGAUAACCAAUUACUAGAUGCAGACAUAUGACUAGAAGCCCCUGAAUCAAAGAUCCAAUCCGUACCUGAGUUUCCUUGUGCAGCAAAGUUAUUCAUGGCCUGGAGAAAGGCAGUUUGAUCCCAGCUCGGUUACGCAUACUGAUGAUUCAAGACACAUAUAUAUCUAGCUAUCAAGUUUCAUCGGAAUAGAUCAAAUAAUUAAUGGGGGAGGAGGACAUGUCAUUUGUGCUCACCCACGAACGAAGGGGCAGAGCUCGUCAAACGCACGGCGAGGUCGUCGAACACCAAACCUCGCAGCGAUGAAACAACUGCACAUUUAAAACUACCCGAUCAACACAAUUUAAAACUACCCGAUCAACGGCAAAGAUUCCAACUGGCGAUGAGUGCGGCCCGGCCGAGAGAGAGCUUCUUUGCCGUCAGCUAGCAGACGGCAAAGAGCUGGCAGACGGCGGCCUGUAGAUAGGGUUUUUGCCGCGGUAGUUCGGAUUAGGACGCCAGCCUGGGGGCGGUUGAGGAUGGGUGCAGGGUAAUUUUGUGGAGCUAUGGUGAGGGCCGAGAGAGAAGCGGCCGCGGCGUUGGCAGCCUUGGCGAUGAGUGCGGCCCGGCGCUCGAAGUAGCCGGGCGGCGGCGGCGGCAGUGGCGUUGGCGGAGCCAUACCCUAAACCCUGGGACCGGUAUCUGAUACCAUGAAAGCUGAAUAAAAUUGUUGCUUAUUGAUGAUUUGGUGCGGCAUACAAGAGUAUAUAAGAGGGUACAAACCGACUUGCGGUAGGGGUACAAAACUGACUUGGAUUAGAAGUCGUAUACCAUAAUGACUACUCUAACAGCCUCACUUCUGAUCGCCAUGGCUGAGGCGAGCCGGAGCUCUCCUCCGGCGUACGAGCUCCAAUGCCGGCCCCUUCUUCCUCCACGACCCCGUUCCCGCUGCGAUCCAAGGCUGGAGACGCCAAGUUCCUCAGCGUCCUCUUCCUCUGCUUCAUCUUCUUCAUGGUUCAGAGGAACGCCAAGUUCCUCGUCGUUGUCUUCAUCUUCUUCAUCUACGGCAGGUGCUCGUCGCCGGUCAACUUCGUCGCGACCCCUCGUUCCCGAGCUCGAUCGACUCCAGCAGCACCCCCUCUGUGAGCAGCCGCACCUCCUCACCUCUUUCCGCCGUCGUUUCCAUCAUCGUAGUCACUGAUCCGCGCGACCCCGAGUCGUUCCGUCAUGGAUGGGCUCGAGUUCGAGCUUGUGCUCGUGCGCCUCGCUGCACACCGCUCAUGUCCUUGCACGCACACCACGCUCCUCUUCGUCCUUGCACAGAGGCAGGACCCCGCAGCUUGCCUCGUCGUGCUUCGCCGCCAUGGCCUUGAUCUCUGAAUUUUGCGCACGCGAGAACCUACACUCAGCGCCUCCACACAUGCACGCUGCCUCCCGUGAGACACCAACGCGAUGCCCGCGUCUCCCUGUUUCUUGCACCACAUCACUCAUGCGCACACCCCCAGGUCCUCGCCCGCGCUUCCUGCCUUGUCUCGCCUUGCGUGUGGUUUCUUCCCUGCCUUGCCGCGCCAUGCCAUGGCCCGAGCCGAGCAACGCUCGAGCUCGAGCGCCUCUGCACCCCUCCUCGUGGCUGAGCCUCGCAGCAGCCUAUCCCACACACCCGCAGUUGCCUCCUGGACCCCGCCGUUUCACCGUUGCCCGCUGGUGCAGAUCGGUGUCUUCUCUGUUGCAGAGGAGAAGAAACCCCAUCCGUCGUGGGGCUAGUUCAAAGAAAGCCGUGCCCAAUCCCUGCAACAGCAGUAGCAGCAGCACAGUGGAUCGAUCAAUGGAGUUCUACCAGGUAGACCCCGGUUCGAAUCCCCUUGGGGACAUAUUUAGAACCGCAAUUUUUGCCUCUGUUGCUUCUAUGACAGUGGACCCCAUUUGUCACCCUCUCUGCAGACAUACCCUCUCCGCACCCACACUCCUACCACCUCAGCACCACGGGCCCCCUCGUCAUUGACAGUGGCUGGCCCAGCUCGUGUUCCCUGUCGUUUAAUUUUCUCUUGCAUAUUCACAGAAAUGCCAUUAUUUUGGUUUGUUAAUAACUAAAAAUCCAUGCAUCCAAAUGAAACAUGUCAUAUAUGCAUCUUGCUCAGUUUUCCAUGUAGUUUCACUAUAUCCAGCUUUUAUCCAUGUUUAAAAUGUUUAAACUUGCUAUUUGAUUAAAUUUGCUCAAAUAACAUGUUAAAAUGGUUUAUUUCAUAACUAAAUAACCGUAGCUCCGAUUUAGAUAAAUUUUAUAUGUAAAUGGGGUAGGAUAAUGCAUAGAUUAACUUGAUGCACUUAUUUUUCAUGUUUAACAAUUUUAAAAUUGUGUAUAGGGCAGAACAGUAGCAAUUCGAAAUAGGCACAUGGGGAUUUUCCGGAAUUGUUGUUUGUUGUUUCCGGCCUCAUUUAAAAUUGCCUAGAUACGUAGUUUUGUUAUGCUUCACCCCUUGCCAUGUUUAAUAACAUUUAAUAUUGUUGGGUGCAUAAAUGAGAGAGAGCUAAAUAAUUGAAUGUGGUGUUUCGUCAAUAUGCAACUCGUUGCCUAUUGAGCUCCACUUAAUUUGUAGUAUUGUUUGUUGCAUUUUCCCAUGCCAUGCCUCAUUUAAACCGGACAUGCAUCAUACUUGACAGUGCAUCAUGCCAUGUUUAUGAUUGUGUGUUUACUAUGUUGUUUGUUUCUUUCCGGGUUGCUUCUCUCGUUAGCUUCGGUUUCUUUCCGGAGUUGUGAGGAUUCGUUCGACUCCGUCUGUUUGUCUUCUUCAUGGACUCGUUCUUCUUCCUAGCGGGAUCUCAGGCAAGAUGACCAUACCCUCAAAAUCACUUCUAUCUUUGCUUGCUAGUUGUUCGCUCUAUUGCUAUGUCGCGCUACCUACCACUUGCUUAUCAAGCCUCCGGCCAUGAACCUCUAACAUUUGUCACCCUUCCUAGCAAACCGUUGUGUGGCUAUGUUACCGCUUUUGCUCAGCCCCUCUUAUAGCGUUGCUAGUUGCAGGUGAAGAUGAAGUUUGUUCCAUGUUGGAACAUGGAUAUUUUGGGAAUAUCACAAUAUCUCUUAUUCAAUUAAUGCAUCUAUAUACUUGGUAAAGGGUGGAAGGCUCGGCCUUAUGCCCGGUGUUUUGUUCCACUCUUGCCGCCCUAGUUUCCAUCAUACCGGUGUUAUGUUCCUUGAUUUUGCAUUCCUUACGCGGUUGGGUGAUUUAUGGGACCCCCUUGACAGUUCGCUUUGAAUAAAACUCCUCCAGCAAGGCCCAACCUUGGUUUUACAUUUGCAUCACCUAGCCUUUUUCCCUUGGGAGUCGCGCUCCCGAGGGUCAUCUUAUUUUACCCCCCCCCCCCGGGCCAGUGCUCCUCGGAGUGUUGGUCCAAACUAGAGCCACUUGCAGCGCCACCUCGGGGAAACUUGAGGGCUCGUUUUAGUUGUACGUAGUGUUCAUCCGGUGUGUCCUGAGAAUGAGGUACGUGCGACUCCUAUCGGGAUUGUCGACACAUCGGGCGGCUUUGCUGGUUUUGUUUUACCAUUGUCGAAAUGUCUUGUAACCGCGAUUCCGAGACUGAUCGGGUCUUCCCGGGAGAAGGAAUAUCCUUCGUUGACCGUGAGAGCUUAUAAUGGGCUAAGUUGGGACACCCCUGCAGGGUAUUAUCUUUCGAAAGCCGUGCCCGCGGUUAUGUGGCAGAUGGGAAUUUGUUAAUAUCCGGUUGUAGAGAACUUGACACUUGACUUAAUUAAAAUACAUCAACCGCGUGUGUAGCCGUGAUGGUCUCUUCUUGGCGGAGUCCGGGAAGUGAACACGGCUUUUGGGUUAUGUUUGACGUAAGUAGGAGUUCAGGAUCACUUCUUGACCAUUGCUAGUUCACGACCGUUCCUUUGCUUCUCUUCUCGCUCUCAUUUGCGUAUGUUAGCCACCAUAUAUGCUAGUGCUUGCUGCAGCUUCACCUCAUUACCCCAUCCUUUCCUAUAAGCUUAAAUAGUCUUGAUCUCGCGGUUGUGAGAUUGCUGAGUCCUCGUGACUCACAGAUACUUCCAAAACAGUUGCAGGUGCCGAUGAUACCAGUGCAGGUGACGCAACCGAGCUCAAGUGGGAGCUCGAUGAAGAUCUUGUUCGUUGUGUUGUUUCUGUUCAUGUUGAUCAGUAGUGGUGCCCAGUUGGGACGAUCGGGGAUCUAGCAUUUGGGGUUGUCUUCUUUUAUUUUGGUUCCGUAGUCGGACCUAUGUGUGUACUCUGAUUGAUGUAUGAUUUAUUUAUGUAUUGUGUGAAGUGGCGAUUGUAAGCCAACUCUUUAUCCCAUUCUUAUUCAUUACAUGGGAUUGUGUGAAGAUGACCCUUCUUGCGACAAAACCACAAUGCGGUUAUGCCUCUAAGUCGUGCCUCGACACGUGGGAGAUGUAGCCGCAUCGUGGGCGUUACACCACCCCAAGGUCUACCACUAGUGGUUGAGAAUCGCCUUCGUGGUGAUAUCUCAAAGAGAGAAUAGGGUGAGCCUUCGUGGCGUUGGUGUGCCUUCGUGGUAACAUCCACCUCUGUAAACGGUGACGUAGCUUCCCUCCAAGGAAGUGAACAUCGGCAUACAUCCUCGUCUCUCGGAGUUGCGGUUAUUCCUAACCUAGCUCCCUACUUGUGGUUACUUGUCUCUUUAUCUUUACUUGUUCCAUAUUGUGCUUACUUAUUCAUAUUCUUGUACAACUUGGUCAUCUUGCUUAGCUCAUUGUAUCAUCUUUGCAAUUGUUAGGCUCACCUUCAUAUUCCGCAUUAUAGCCUGAAAUUGCUAAGUAAGAAUUAAAAUUUGUAAUUGGACCUAUUCAACCCCCCCCCCUAUUAAAAUUUGAAUCAUCUUUAAUUGUUAGGCUCACUUUCAAUAUUGCCAUGCAACUUCCACCGUUCUGUUUUAUUAUGACACAUAUCAUCAUUGUCAUAUUGCUUUGCAUGAUCAUAUAGUUGGCAUAGUAUUUGUGGCUCCGCCAUCGUUCAUAUUUUUUAUACAUGUCACGCUAGAUCAUUGCACAUCCCGGUACACCGCCGGAGGCAUUCAUAUAGAGUCAUAUUCUUGUUCUAGUAUCAAGUUGUAAUUCUUGAGUUGUAAGUAAAUAUAAGUGUGAUGAUCAUCAUUAUUAGAGCAUUGUCCCAUGUGAGGAAAAGGAUGAUGGAGGAUAUGAUUCCCCCACAAGUCGGGAUGAGACUUUAGACGAAAAAAAGAGAGGCCAAAAG